Molecule: ribosomal RNA, 305 nt
Filed under: uncultured bacterium
Lineage: Bacteria
Description: bacterial SSU rRNA
Rfam family: Bacterial small subunit ribosomal RNA
Source: RNAcentral
GCCUACGGGACGCAGCAGUCGGGAAUAUUGCACAAUGGAGGAAACUCUGAUGCAGUGACACCGCGUAUAGGAAGAAGGUUUUCGGAUUGUAAACUAUUUUAGACAGGGAAGAAAAAAGACAGUACCUGUAGAAUAAGCUCCGGCUAACUACGUGCCAGCAGCCGCGGUAAUACGUAGGGGGCAAGCGUUAUCCGGAUUUACUGGGUGUAAAGGGAGCGUAGGCGGCGAUGCAAGUCAGAAGUGAAAGCCCGAGGCUCAACUCCGGGACUGCUUUUGAAACUGUGUUGCUAGAUUGCAGGAGAGGU